Non-coding RNA from Cinara cedri, 8930 nucleotides. NCBI's taxonomy places the organism in Eukaryota, Metazoa, Arthropoda, Insecta, Hemiptera, Aphididae. The record is from the annotation of a GenBank genome assembly.
CUUUUACCAUGUUAAUUUUUUUUAUUUUUUCUAAUUUUUUUUUUUAUUGUGAAGACGUUUUUUUUCAUUUUUAUUACUUCAAAUAUUAAAAUUUACACCUAUGUAUUAUCUAUGAACAUAUACAAUAAUAUAUCAGUAUAUCAUUUACUUAUUAUGUUGUUUGUUUAAUAUUUUUCUCUACGUAUUUUAAGUUUUAAACUUAAACUUAAAAAAGAUGUCAUGGAGAUUGGUGAAGCCACUGUUAUAGGUAAUUUAAUGUAUACCUAUAAGCAGCGAUAAACCAUUGCUUACGAAAAAUCGAUUCUGAAAGGAGUUCAUUUGAUAGUGAUGCUUUGUCAACAAUAUUUAUAUGUCUUAUUAUAGAAAAAUAAUUAAAUAGGCAUUAUAUAUUUUUUUUAAUAAUAUUUGUUUUAUGUUGAACCGAUUUUCCCAUGUUUUAACCCGAUUUUUUUAAUUUGCUGGAAAAACUCCUGAGAAAAUCGAAAAAUGACCUUUCUUAAGUACCUCCUCAUACCAAUUUCCUUUCAAAAAAGUUGCUACACGUAGAAAUCCGAGCAAGUCUUCUGGUAGAAAAGUUGUUAACAGAUAAAAAAAUAAAAAUCUUUGUAAAACCAUAAUCUUCUUCACAAAAGAUUUUACACAAAAGUUAUGUAGUAUAAGUAUCUAUUUAAUUGUAUAUCUACCAGUUUCAAUAUAUUUUAUUUUUAUACAACAUUAUGACCUAAGCACUCUUGCCAUUGGAAUUUAUGCAUGUUAAAUACUUUUACAUUUAAUUUUAAUUGAUUUAUUUUAUAAUUAAUAAUUAUUUUCAUUGUAUAUUUAUAUUUAAAUACUUAAUAUUGGUCAUGAAUUAAGAUAUCUUAAUUUGUGCUACUGGUUUAUGCUCUUAAUUUUUUUUAAAACUUAUUUAUCAUAAUAUAAUAUUGUUAAUUUGUGGUGUAUGCUUUUAAAUUAUAAAUCAACUAUCAUAUUUCAUAAUGGUAUUUGUAUAAUUAAUUAUAUUUAUAAUUAUAUAUUUUUAUUGUUAUUACAGGAAAAAUAUCUGGCUGAAGUCAACUCAAUUUAAGUUACUUAGUUAACCCAACAGAUUGUAUAACUCCAUGGUUAUGACUAUACAGUGAGUCCCACCAUGUUCAAUGAAGUUUUCUUGAGCUGGUAAUAUUAAAUAUUUUUCAAUUUUUUUUUUCAAUCGGUUUGUUUUCGAGGGGGACAUUUUUUUGGAAAAAAAAUCAAUUUUUAUUUUGUAACUUGAUUCACUUAUUUUCACUCAUAUCAUUUUUGUAUUUCUUCUGUAACUUGUACCUAUUCUUAUAAAUAAUAAAAUCACCAACUGAUAAUAAUGAUUACAAAUACUAUUCAAAAUACAAAUUCAUAUAAAAAUAAAUUACUAGCUAUUUGCAGUAAUAUAUUAAAAGUGACAAGUACACCAUCUGUUGACUUAUUCUCAUAAUUCCGUUUUUGUUGAAUAUGGUAAUGUUAGUGACAUAGGUAGCGCCACAUAACUAAACCAAGCCCCGGAUCGUCUCCGCACAUAGAAUUAAGCAAGUUGCCAGAUCAUCUUUAAGGUCGUUCUGUUGACGCUCCUAUUACAGAAUAGCCGAAAUAGAAUAACAGAAAGUUUAGUACCUACAUUUAAGUUAGGCGCUAGUAAGUUAACAAGAUUGCCGUGGCAAAUAACGGGAGUGCGUAAAAACCGAAUAUAAAUCAGCCAAAAAAAUAUUUCGGGCGAACCGUACUUAAGCAGACAAAUAUAUUUGACCCGAUAUUAUACCCGAUACUAUUAUAUUUUAUUUGAAAAUGUCACAGCCUCCCGUUUUAAAGAGAUAGGGCCAGACCUUCCAAAAAACGAUAAGCGUGAUAAAAAAUAAAUAAAGAGAGGAACUUCAUUUUCGGCAGUUUUAUAGUUCCCCCUCAUAACAAACGCGUCACACUCGCCUAUAGGUCAUCUAAUAGGUAUCAUUGUAACCAGUGGCGUAGCGAAGGAGGGUGUUUUGGUGGCAAAAAUGCCAACAAUUAUACUAUAUGCAGUUAUGCAACAGAUUACUACAUGAUGUGUUACGCAUAGAUAAUUAUUAAGUAUACUGUACAAUAUUAUGUUAUGUGUGUUCUACAUCUACCAUAUUAUUCGCUCGAUAAAAUUACGAAGUUACAACUUAACAUAAAAUAAAAAAAAACAUCCCAAAAAAAAUCCUCGCUUGCCGCCAAAAUGUUGUACCGUCCAAAACAUUGUAACGGGUUACAAGUUCAAAUACAUUCCUCGCUACGUUCCGAAUCUAAAACGUAGGAUAAACCUAUCUGGAUUGGUAGCAUUUAAGCAUCAAUAACGAACUAUUCUUGGUAAAUAAAAGUAUUUAAUCGAAUAUAAACGAUAUUUUCCACACCAAUCAUCAUCUGAAAAACAUCGAGUUUAUUAUUUGGACCCAAUCUAGAAACAAUAUUAAUGUUCAGUGACUAUUGUCAUUAAUAAUGACUCGUUAUUCAUUAAUCAAUUUUAUCAUAAGCAUAUAGUACUUACCCGCCUAAGUAAUUUAGAAUCAAUCAUUAUUAUUAUUAUUUUUUUUUUUAACACUUACCACAAUCUCAGUACGCGAUGUGACACUAAACUAUAUGUUUUUCGAACGGUUUCGACUAUAUGUUUAAACGGUUUUUAUGUUUCUACUGCAUGUCUACAUCGUACCUGACAAUAUCAAUAUAUUCAUAAUAUAAUUCCGCGCGGGUAUUUUUGUUUCUACUCGUGUUAUUUUUAAUAAGCACCUAGGUAAAUGGCUACAUAAUAAUUUUAUGGGUAGCAGCUAAAACAUUCGGGCAUUCGUGCGCUUUUUGAUUUAAUUGUACAGGUUAGGUUCUAUAGGUAAAGGUACACCCGUUGACGUGCGCCAUAACACCUGAACGUUGACCUACUUUAUAUAAUAUGCUAUACAAUAAUAUAGGUAUAUUAUACAGUAUAGAAUAUUAUUAUAGGUACACAGAAAAGCUAUUUAUAAAGCACGGGAAUUUAAUAUAAUGUAUGCGUAGAUAAUAUAGGUAAUAGGUACCUGUAUACUUAAAAAAAAAAAAUAUGCGCAUAAUCGUGAAAUUUAAACAUAAUACAUUUAAAGUAAAGAAAACGUACCCUAUAUAAACUUUUUUUUUUUUAAUGAUGAAUAACUAAUGUCCCUUCUAGAAAAAUAAAAACUGUCAAUAAAAUUAUAAUGAAACGUCGCUGCGUAUGAAUUGCGUCCCGAAAUGGAAAAAAAUGAGCUAAUACUGAGGACGGGUGCAACCACUGUUGUAGGUGGGAAGUUGGGAAAGUAGGAUACAUUAGGUUAUUUCAUCUGUAAGCAACGAUAAACCAUUGCUGACGAAAAACGAUUCGGAGUGAAGUUCGUUUAUACAGGUUUUGAAAGGCUGUAAUAUUUACGAUUUUCUUCAAAAUUUUAUAUUAAAAUUAUUAUAUAAAAAAAAAUCCACUUAAUACUCAAUAUUUUUUUUUUUUUACCAUAAAGUACGAUUUAUAACGAACCUCCAUCAAAUUUCGAACGCAGUUCGGUAAUACAUAAUUUGAAGUGUCGUAAUUUUUUUUGUGAGUUUCGUUUAAAUUUGAGUUCAAAACACUUAUUAAAAAAUAAUUCAACAAAAAAGGUCUCUUUUCAUUUUUCAAUUGGACCCAAAUUUGUGCUAAAAAACAUGGUAGGUACUUAGUUAAAAUAACGAAAUCAUCAAAAAACCGUAUUUUUUUUCUGGUUAAUCGUUUUUAUUUUAAAUACCUUUUCGAAAAUCAAAAAAUGAUCUAUGUAGAUAAAAUUUACUUUCAGAAAAGGUGUUACACUUAUACAUCGAAGAAAGUUUUCAUAGACGAAAGUGGUCUACAGUGUAAAAAAAAAAAAAAAUAAGUACCAUUGUAAAAAAAAUUGAAAAAAAGUCGUCCGAUCAUUUUGGAAAUUUUACCAUGUCAAGGUAAGUCCAAUAUAAGUACUAUUACCAUAUUUCAAGUCUCUACGUGAUUGAAUAACCGAAUUACAGUAAAGAAUCUCCCGAAAAUUAAAAUUCCUAAAAGUUCUAAACUUUUGGCAAUAAUACCGUAAGAAAGUAAAUCAAAAUGGCAACAAAAAAGGUGUCUUGUGAUUUUUUGAUUAAAUCAUUUUUUCUGAUAGAAAACGUCGUCCGUGUUUUUAUAAAAUAAUGAAAUCGUGAAAUAGUACGUUUUCCUACAUUUUGUCACACUUAAGUGCUUUUAUUUGAAAAAUGACCUCUUCAAAGUACUAUCUAGACAACAAGAGCUUUCAGAAAAGGUUGUUACUCGUAAAAAUCGAAGCAAGUUUAGAAAAAACGUGUCCACAGACUAGAAUAAAAAAAAAAAAAAAAAAAAAUCUUAGUAAAACCAAAAGGGCACUUGCUACGUUCGGAAUCUAAAAGAAAAUACUGGGGAUGAGAGCGGCCACUGUUGUAGGUGAGAAUUUGGGAAGGUAGGAUACAUGAGGUUAUUUCAUUUAUAUCUGUUACCAACGAUAAACCAUUGCUUACGAAAAAACCGAUUCUGAGCGGAAUUCAGUUGAUAGUGAUGCAUUGUUAACAAUAUAUAUGACAUUUUAGGAUAAAAUAAUUAAAUAGGCAAUAUAUAAAAAUUACCUCUCUAAAGUACCUCCCCAGAAAAAUUUCUUUUCAGAAAAAGUAGUAGCAUUGUAAAUCGGAAGAAAAUUUUCAUUUACCACCCAGUGGUGGGCCGCACUACCAACGUGUGGACACCGACAAUACGUCGCGGCUGAAUAAUACCAAAAAAACGAAAUGUCCCGAGCCUACUAUCCGUGAGCGGCCUUAUCGCGGCCCGUCACCCGGUGGCGCGGUCGUUUAUUUACAGUUUUUUUUUACGCACCGCCCCAAAAGAGCCGUGCGGGUUUAAAAUAUGUAAAAUAUGAAUGCGACUGAGUCCCGUAAAGUGUAUUCGGUGGCUACUCGUUACACCCGUUACGUGCGUCUCCGCGCGUCCAAUCCACGCCCGGUCGUGGCCGAUUUGCGGGAAGCACGGGCGCUCCAGUGCCGUCUGAUCGCGCGCGUCAGAAUCGACUACGUCGGGCCCGUCACGAUGUGAGAACUGAGAACACCAGUCACGAAAUGCGCGGACUGUCGCUGUGUUUGUGUGUGCCUAAGCGUCAAAGCGGUCCGUUUGAAGCUACCUACGUCUACUCGGACGGCGGGACCAACUUCAUCGGCGCCUACCGGCGGCUCCGUCAACUGGCUAACAGCACCACGACGCAGGCCGUUAUUAUCGCCACCGCGUUAUCCUGUGUUUCCGCAUUUCGGCGGACUGUGGGAAGCAGCAGUAUACGGUCCGGGAUCCGGUCAAUUCCCGACCGUUAAACGCCCGGAAACUUCCCGGUGGACCAACCGUUACUUGGCAAUUCUUCGCCGUAAUUCGGACGCCCGUGGUCGGGAUUUUCAAAAUAAUUGGGAAAACUCCGAAAGAAAAUUAUAGGUCGAGCGGCAAAUAUUUACGGCGCACCGUUACCGUCGUUUUUUAAUGACUAAAGUAUUUUUCGUAAUAAUUGGGAAAAACCAAAAAAAAUUUAACAGGUGGUUCGUUAUAAGUCGUACUUAUUGUGUUUAAAAAAAUACAUUUCAAAUGUAAUGUAGAAUACUUUUUUAUACAAAUUUUAAAUAUUAUACGGCAUUUCAAAACAUGUAUAACCGAAAUCCGCUCAAAAUAGAUUUUCGUUAGCAAUGGUUAAUCGUUGCGUACAGAUAUACAUUUCAUUCUCUUCUACCUUCCCAACUUUUCACCUACAACAGUGGCCCAUUCGUGCGAAUUAUGUCCGUAUCUUUUUUCUUUAUAAGCCUGUAAAGUUCGUGUUUUGAAAAUGUUCGUAAAAUAUGCGAAUAUUUGUUAUUUAUUUUAUAGUUUACAUACAGUUCGACAUUAUACGGACUUUUAUCGAUUCUUUGAGGCGACACGCAGACAUUGUCUUGCAGAACUCGAUGACACUGAUAGGAGACCUGGCACACAGUAUAAGACUUAUUAGCGAUUAGCUUAUUGAGCGAUAAGACACGAAAUUUUCCACAAUCGUAAUAAAAUAAUACAAAAGUUUUAAAAUUUAUUUUUUCAUAUUAUUUUUUUAUUUUCUUAUUAUUCUUACUAUUAUUUUUUGUAUUUUUUUUUUCUAUUUUACUAUGUUAUAUAUAUUAUAUAAUCUAAAUAUUUUUUCUUUCAUCGCGACCCAUAGGUUGGGAAACACUGCUCUAGGGUAUAUUGUAUUGCGCAAUCGUGCAGAUGAGGUAUUAAUUAAACAGUACACUGCCGUCAACAUUACCCGUCUCUCAUCGUGUACCCCACCAGGAGACAUAAUUGACUUCCAUGCACUUAUUCAUUAUUAUUCGAUGUUCUCGAAAUAGAUUACAUAUCAGCAUUUAUAAUAAUUUGUCUUCGUGCCAGUGCCGGAAUAUUAUGUAGCGAUACUUCAGUGCGUAAUUACUUUAUUUUAACAUUAUCUACUUUAUUGUUAUAUAAUCAUAAAUAAUAAUAAUUAUAACUGAACUCGCUGGGGAUGCAAUUUCACACCCUGUACCCUCUCCCUCGUUCGCAUGCUUAUACGUGUAGUAAUCCUUAUGUUAUUUUCAAUUUUGUUAAUUGUUGUAGUUCAAUAAAAAAUAUUCGUAGAGACUUGAAAUUUGAACAGAAAAUUUAUAUUUGCCUUUUCUAGAUGUAACAUUUUCAAAACAUUUAAGUAAUUUCUAAGCUAUAAGACAUUUUAAUUUUGCGAGUUUUUUACGUAAUUUGUAUUAGUUACUUUGUGAAACAGAAAUGCUAGAAAAUUUAACAGGAGGUACUUUAUAAGUUGUAUUUAUUGGUCGACAAGAAAAAGUUGAGAUUAAUUCAGUUUUUUUUAUAAGAAUUUUAAUAUCAAAUUUUAACGUAAAUCCCAAAUAUUAGCCAUUUCAAAACAUGUAUAUUCUAACUUUGCUCAGAAUCGUAUUUCGUUAGCAAUGGUUUAUCAUUAGAUAUAAAUUAUACAACUUUAUGUAUUCUCUCUUCCCAACUUCUCACCAACAACAGUGGUACAUCCAUCAGUAGUAUUAAUUCUUUUUAAAAUUGAAUAAUGUAUGAACAUGUUUAAUAAGUUAUAGUAGUUAUAGAAUUAAAUAAAUGACAAAAUAAUAUACAUGUAAAUUAUAAUAUAAUAUGAUAUUUUUCGAAUUUUAAACAAUUAAUAAUUAUGAAAGCAGAGAUUGAAGUUUGAAAUUAAAAUUCUAAAAUUGCAUACAAAUUCCAUGUCUAUUUCAGAUUUUCUUUGACUUUUCCCGGUUUUUAAAAGCUCUAUGGCAACCAUAAUUAAUAACCACUAGACGAUAGUAUAUAAUUUAAUUGUAAGUUUAUGUUAAGUUAAAUAGGAUUAUUAUUAUGUAAAUUCAACAAUAAUACAUUUACUCUGAAUUACAGUUUUCGUAAAAUCACGGAAUUGAGAUUUUGGUGAACUUUUUUGAGUACUUUUAUUAAAAAUGUAUGACUAAAACUCGUGUAUAUUAAUGUAGAUGUAAAAAAAUCACGCUAAAAAAAUGUAAACAUAAAUUUAUUACUACCACAUUCUGAAAGUGCGUUUUUGGGUACAUUAUAUAGUUAUAUGUUUAUGUGUAUGUACCCACUCUUAGUUUUCUGAUAAAAAAUAUAAUUACGAUGAUAAAUGUAUUUUUUUGGUAAUUGAAACCUUUUUUGGAAAUGCAAAAAUCCAGUUUUAUAGAGCAAACAGAAAUAUUUAAUUAAAAUCACUAAUCUGUAUAAAAAUAAUGCAAAGGAAAUGGUGUACAGUUAACUAAAUAAAAUAUUAAGUAUAUUUAGGUUUUAGAGGAUGAUAUACGAAGAGAAUGGUAUACAACACCUUAUCUCCCACAGAUCCCACAAAAAGCCAAAAUGAAGCCUAAGAAAUUAAAUUUUGUAUAAACAUGGUGUAGACCCUAUCAAAAAUAAACUUUUUGGGGGUUUCAACUUUCAAAUUUCUCCUAAAUAUUUCUAAAUCUCCUAAAUAAAUUAAUCGGAGUAGUAUUAGUCGGGGUGUUUAUCCUAUAAUAUAGCCAAAGCUAACCAAAGUAAUUAAAAAAUAUAUAUUUGAACAAUUGUUGUCGGGUUAUUUUUUUUAUAUUAGAGAAAAAUGAUUGAGAAUCUAGACAUAUUUUGAAGUACCGAGUGAAGCGAGGAAUGUAUUGGUUUUACAAUGAUGUUUAUUUUAGAUUCGGAGCGUAACAAGGAGCUAUUGAUUUUACUAUGGUGUGUGUUUUUUGUAUUAACUUUUCUUCAAGAUAUUUUGCUCCGAAUUAUUAAAUUUAGCAUCUUUCCUGGAAGGUGAUUUUCUCUAUUGGUGCAUUGGGAACAUCUUUUUUUUUCAUUUUCUGAGGGAUUUUCAAGAUAAUUGGGAAAAACCCAAAAAUAUUUAACAGGUGGUUCGUUAUAAGUCGUACUUAUUGUAUUUAAAAAUUUUAAUAUCAAAUUUUGACAAAAAUCUUAAAUAUUUUACGACAGUUCAAAACAUGUAUAACCUAAAUCCGCUCAAAAUAGUUUUGCGUUAGCAAUGAUUAAUCGUUCCGUACAGAUAUAAUUUUCCUCUAUAUCCUACCUUCCCAACUUCUCACCUAUAACAGUGACCCACACAUCGUGCGAACUAUGUCUGUAUUUAUUUAUUUUUAAUUAAUUACUUCUAGGUACUCACAUCUUUCAAGGUACAGUGGAAAUAAUUUAUAAUUUUUUUAUUAACCAAAAAAGUGCUUUUUACUGUUUUAGCUGUCAUUUAGGUUUUACCUUUAUUUUUAGACCAGUAAAUAUUCGAUAUGGUUACAUGGCGCCCCUGUACAGAUUCCGAGGCAUGCCGGGCGCCACGGUGCACAUUUUUGGAACCACUGCGCUAUAACACAUUAAUCAUGCAUGUUCAAAUUAUAUUUGAAAUGCUUAUUUCAAUAAAGAACGAAAC